RNAcentral lists this transfer RNA (73 nucleotides) under Halichoeres tenuispinis (Chinese wrasse). RNAcentral's name for it is "tRNA-Asp". It matches the Rfam family "tRNA". Rfam says of the family: Transfer RNA (tRNA) molecules are approximately 80 nucleotides in length. Their secondary structure includes four short double-helical elements and three loops (D, anti-codon, and T loops). Further hydrogen bonds mediate the characteristic L-shaped molecular structure. tRNAs have two regions of fundamental functional importance: the anti-codon, which is responsible for specific mRNA codon recognition, and the 3' end, to which the tRNAs corresponding amino acid is attached (by aminoacyl-tRNA synthetases). tRNAs cope with the degeneracy of the genetic code in two manners: having more than one tRNA (with a specific anti-codon) for a particular amino acid; and 'wobble' base-pairing, i.e. permitting non-standard base-pairing at the 3rd anti-codon position. Lineage: Eukaryota; Metazoa; Chordata; Actinopteri; Labriformes; Labridae. RNAcentral also lists the same sequence under 1 other name. The record is from RNAcentral.
AAGAUAUUAGUAAAAUAGAUCAUUACACCGCCUUGUCGAGGCCGAAUUGCGGGUUAGACUCCCGCGUAUCUUA